GCUGGCGUGGUGGAAUCGGCAGACGCGACGGACUCAAAAUCCGUUGGUAGAGAUACCGUGUGGGUUCAAGUCCCACCGCCAGCACCA
This 87-nucleotide transfer RNA is filed under the name Lachnospiraceae bacterium 7_1_58FAA. RNAcentral's name for it is "tRNA-Leu". It matches the Rfam family "tRNA". From Rfam's summary of the family: Transfer RNA (tRNA) molecules are approximately 80 nucleotides in length. Their secondary structure includes four short double-helical elements and three loops (D, anti-codon, and T loops). The record is from RNAcentral. Lineage: Bacteria; Bacillati; Bacillota; Clostridia; Lachnospirales; Lachnospiraceae.